UAAACACAUAAUGGAAUCGGUGGUGGCGUCAAUCGUCAAUUCUCCGUCAUGCUGUCUGUCCGUCUGUGCAUCCGUAUGAGCUAUACUGCCUGACACUGUAGUGGUGUACCUAUAAGCACAUUAAUAUUAACAAACAAAAAAAAAAGAGAACAAUUCGCACUGGUAACGUUUUUUGAGACGCGACUGUGACAACUGUCUGCCUCCUAAUUAGCAACUCUGACUCAAAGCAACUCUGCGUAGUGACGCCCAUACAGUUGGUUCUGGCCAAUGCCUUUGUUUUCUGCAAUUGAUGGCGUGCGCAACAAUAUUCGUAUUGGAAAAGAACUUGGCUCGUUUUGUUGAUAUUAAUUGAAAGAAAUCAAUACAAAAAACGGUGAAAAGUGCGUUCCCACCAAUAUUGGAUAGAAAUUGACAACUUGGGUUCGGUAUGGAAAACUUAUGGACACAAAUUUCCAGUUGGCCCGAUUAAUGCAACUGACUUACUUCAUACUGUAGAAGUUAAAGCAGCAGUAUGUGAGCCUUUAGGGGAUAAAGGAGUCGACUGUGUAAAUGAUGAUAGUUGGCUUGCUGUAUCUCUUCUUUGUUGCUAUCGAGCAGCUGACAAAGACUCCAUGUCUAAUGCAUUUAAGAACAAUGCUCUCAAAGCGAUGCAUUCGGCAAUUGUCACUUCGGCUUUCCAUGAGGUGAAUGAUGAGAUAUCUCUUCGUGUAGUGGGAGAUAAGCUUAUUAGGGAUGAUGAAUUCACUAAAUUGGUUUGUGCCAUUGACAUGUUUCUAAAUAGGUUUCCUAACCACCCCUUAAAGAGUCUCCGAUUGGGGUCAAUAAUCACCCGAAACAAUGGAUUAACUGGUUGGUUGAACUUAGAUUAUCUUAGAGUUCGACUAGGAGUUGACACAAUACAUGAUGCCAUUCAUUGGAUAUUCGUUCCGGCCGCUUGGAAGGAGAUAGACCAGAUGCUUAGGGAUAGCGAAGAAAAAUCUGAUGUUUAUUCUUACUUUCCUUAUAUGAUGGGGUUGAAAUUAUUCAGAAAAAGCCCAUAUUCUGCAGAAUCCAAUCCUGUCACACAUAUGAUCAUUCAUUCAGUAGGCAGUCUGAUGGGAUAUGAUAGAUCAAUCAAUGCUAGGGUACCACGCAGAGAAUGUCCUCUAAUAACUGCAAUGAAUAUAGCCAUUAUAUUUUUACGAUUUUCGACCCAAGACCCAAGCUUCGAAACUCCGUCUGAUUGGGUCGUUUAUUUGAAAGAUCAUGGAAACCAAUUUAAUCAAAAACAUAGAGACUCAUUGGAGCUUGCAAUAAGGAUACCCGUACUAAUUCCGUAGGAAAAUGGGUAACUAACCAUCUAUUGCCUAACUUGAACUUUGAAUGAACCAACAUGAUACAACUGAUGGAAGAAAAAAAAAUUUAUUUAUGGCCUUUGUAGCAUAAGUUUAUUAUGGAAUAUCAUUAGAUCCAAAUUGAAGAAAAAGAAAUUGAAUGAAUUAUUAGUAAAUAAGUAACCCUGUCAAACAUGAAACUUGAAAACUAGUAAUUAAGUAAAACUCCUAAAAUUAAUGUUUAAAAUAUUGGAACUAAAACCAUCAUUAUGAAGUAUAUAAGGAAUUAAUUAUGGAUUAAAAUAGUUUAAUGAGCUCCUGAGAUAAA
Drosophila grimshawi is the source of this 1641-nucleotide long non-coding RNA. RefSeq lists it as uncharacterized. NCBI's taxonomy places the organism in Eukaryota, Metazoa, Arthropoda, Insecta, Diptera, Drosophilidae. The record is from RefSeq and is a predicted model, not a curated record. The transcript is spliced from 2 exons.